AAGUCGUAACAAGGUUUCCGUAGGUGAACCUGCGGAAGGAUCAUUAUUGAAUGAACUUGGUAUGAUUGUUGCUGGCCCAUCUGGGCAUGUGCACGUCUGCCAUCUUUAUCUCUCCACCUGUGCACAUAUUGUAGGUCUGGAAUAAAUUUCUGAGGCAACUCAGUGGUGGGGAAUGCUGCUGCGAAGUGGCUUUGCCUGUAAUUUCAGAUCUAUGUUUUCAUAUACUCCAUAAAAAUGUAACAGAAUGUAUUAAUGGGUCUUGUACCUAUAAACUAUAUACAACUUUCAGCAACGGAUCUCUUGGCUCUC
RNAcentral lists this unclassified non-coding RNA (309 nucleotides) under Pholiota adiposa. RNAcentral's name for it is "partial internal transcribed spacer region". The stretch from base 1 to 46 matches the Rfam family "Eukaryotic small subunit ribosomal RNA", at positions 1786 to 1831 of the family's 1831-position model. Lineage: Eukaryota; Fungi; Basidiomycota; Agaricomycetes; Agaricales; Strophariaceae. The record is from RNAcentral.